GGGCCCGCACAAGCGGUGGAGCAUGUGGGUCAAUGGGAUGAUACGCCAAGAACCUUACCAGGGCUUGACAUGCUGGGGACGGCUCAUGAAAGUGGGUUUCCCUGGCAACAGGGUCCCAGCACAGGUGGUGCAUGGUUGUCGUCAGCUCGUGUCGUGAGAUGUUGGGUUAAGUCCCGCAACGAGCGCAACCCUCGCCGGAUGUUGCCAGCGUCAAGACGGGCACUCUUCCGGGACUGCCUGAGUAAUCAGGAGGAAGGAGAGGAUGACGUCAAAUCUGCAUGCCCCUUAUGCCCUGGGCUGCACACGUGCUACAAUGGCGGGUACAAAGGGUUGCCAAACCGCGAGGUGGAGCUAAUCCCCCAAAACCCGUCCCAGUUCGGAUCGCAUGUCUGCAACUCGACUGCGUGAAGUUGGAAUCGCUAGUAACCGUGGAUCAGCAACGCCACGGUGAAUACGUUCCCGGGCCUU
Molecule: ribosomal RNA, 468 nt
Filed under: uncultured bacterium
Lineage: Bacteria
Description: bacterial SSU rRNA
Rfam family: Bacterial small subunit ribosomal RNA
Source: RNAcentral